Molecule: transfer RNA, 76 nt
Filed under: Pseudomonadota bacterium
Lineage: Bacteria; Pseudomonadati; Pseudomonadota
Also listed under: 4 other names
Description: tRNA-Glu
Rfam family: tRNA
About the family: Transfer RNA (tRNA) molecules are approximately 80 nucleotides in length. Their secondary structure includes four short double-helical elements and three loops (D, anti-codon, and T loops).
Source: RNAcentral
GGUCCCAUCGUCUAGUGGCCUAGGACACCGGCCUCUCACGUCGGUAACACGGGUUCGAGUCCCGUUGGGACCACCA